CGGGAUUGAAAUGUAGAUGACCGCUCCUGAAAGGGAGUUUUCCUUCGGGACAUCUAUGUAGGUGCUGCAUGGUUGUCGUCAGCUCGUGCCGUGAGGUGUCAGGUUAAGUCCUAUAACGAGCGCAACCCCUAUUGUUAGUUACCAGCACGUGAUGGUGGGGACUCUAGCAAGACUGCCGGUGUAAACCGUGAGGAAGGUGGGGAUGACGUCAAAUCAGCACGGCCCUUACAUCCGGGGCGACACACGUGUUACAAUGGUAAGGACAAAGGGCAGCUACCUGGCGACAGGAUGCGAAUCUCUAAACCUUAUCACAGUUCGGAUCGGAGUCUGCAACUCGACUCCGUGAAGCUGGAUUCGCUAGUAAUCGCGCAUCAGCCAUGGCGCGGUGAAUACGUUCCCGGGCC
RNAcentral lists this ribosomal RNA (404 nucleotides) under uncultured bacterium. RNAcentral's name for it is "bacterial SSU rRNA". It matches the Rfam family "Bacterial small subunit ribosomal RNA", at positions 976 to 1380 of the family's 1533-position model. The record is from RNAcentral.